GACGAACGCUGGCGGCGUGCUUAACACAUGCAAGUCGAACGGAAAGGCCCUGCUUUUGUGGGGUGCUCGAGUGGCGAACGGGUGAGUAACACGUGAGUAACCUGCCCUUGACUUUGGGAUAACUUCAGGAAACUGGGGCUAAUACCGGGUAGGAGCUCCUGCUGCAUGGUGGGGGUUGGAAAGUUUCGGCGGUUGGGGAUGGACUCGCGGCUUAUGAGCUGGUUGGUGGGGUAGUGGCUUACCAAGGCUUAGACGGGUAGCCGGCCUGAGAGGGUGACCGGCCACAUUGGGACUGAGAUACGGCCCAGACUCCUACGGGAGGCAGCAGUGGAGAGUAUUGCACAAUGGGCGGAAGCCUGAUGCAGAAACGCCGCGUGCGGGAUGACGUCCUUCGGGUUGUAAACCGCUUUCGCCGGUGACGAAGCGUGAGUGACGGUAAUGGGUAAAGAAGCACCGGCUAACUACGUG
RNAcentral lists this ribosomal RNA (468 nucleotides) under uncultured bacterium. Its description in RNAcentral is "partial 16S ribosomal RNA". It matches the Rfam family "Bacterial small subunit ribosomal RNA", at positions 28 to 507 of the family's 1533-position model. The record is from RNAcentral.